UUAGUCGUCUUAGAUGAGGGCUGAGGUAGUGUGGGUUAUACCAGCACAAAGAAAGGGACAGAGUUGAGAGUACAAGUGGAGAGUAAACCCAGAAGAGAAAUUGGGUUCGGGGAUGCUGUUUGAAUCUCGCCUCCAUUGGCUAUCAGCCCUGUGACCUUCGGCAAGUACUUCACCCUGGCCACGCUUCCAUUUUCUCACCUGGAAAACAAGGACAUCACGUGUACCUUUGUUGAGAUUAAACGAGACAAGGAGCCUUGAGCAGCAGACCAACAGCACAAUUAUUUGCAGUGAUUCUAUUUGACCCACAAAUUCUCAACAAAAGCACACGGAACAAACGAAGUUGAAAGGAGGAGCAUGAGUGAGGUUAGACUUCAGGAGAGCUCUGAUCAGUGAAGGAAAUGCAGUGGAACACACUUGGUCCGCUCUUCCCGGGCUGAGCUUUGCCAGGCCCAGAAGAGUUGGCCAGACACAGGUAGAAGCCCCAUGGGUGGGACCCAGUGCCCCCAGCUGGGUCCAGGGCUGGUUGGAGACCAGGGAUGGAGCAGUCGGAAUGGACACCAGGCAGAAGCAGCUGGUCAUCGUCAGCCCCGUGGCACCCUUUGGCCUCUCCUCUGGCCUCCCCAUUUCUCCUCUCCCUUCCCUGCCCCUCUCCUUCCAUCCCCUCCACUCCACUCUCUCCCCUUCCUCCUUCUGCCUCUGGGGUACCGCAGAUUGGCUGGUACCUGUUCUGUGUCGAAAUUGCCCAUCACCAAGGGGCUAGAAACUUUCAUGCUGGCCCUGGGCCCAAGCUCACGGGCUGACUGUGUCUCCUCCUCUCCUCUGAGACCUCAGCAUAGGUGGACGUGGCAAGCUUGGUUACGUGAGGGAGGAGGGGUUGGAGACCUUGGUCACCGGCCAGCUGUGGGGUUCGGAGACUCUGAACUUGGUUUUCGCGCUGUUACUCCGCAGAAACCCUCUUUGGAAGUGACUCGCUGUGACCGAAACCUCUCUGCCACACACCCACCAGGAUUCUGAAGGGUCCCUCUUCCCGAGCCAGGUGGCCCUGGGUCGCCGAGCAGCAGGGGGCAGGGAAGGGGCUGGGACCUGCCCCGUGACGGACCCUGUGCCCGGCGCCUCAGCUGAGCACCGCUGUGCUCGCCGUGUGUCUGGCUGUGUACAUGCACUCGUGUGCGCUAGAGUCGGCCUGCGUGCGCACACAUGCACGCACGACGAGCCACCAGUGACUUCCAGCCGGUGACGGCCUGAGACAAGUUGUAGGACCUGAUGCUGAUCCUGAAGCCGGGCACUGUGCUGUCUGUCACCUGCGUGACAGCUGGGGCUCUUGGCCUGAGGCUGCAGCAGAUUUGUCUGGGCUCCGACUGCGAUCCCCUGAGGACAGAGACUGCAUUCACCUUGUAGCCCAGAGCCUGGCAUGCAGUGUGCUUCUUGUGAGCUCUUCAGCGAAGACACCAACUCAACACACUCAGCACCCUCAUGAGAGGUAGUGGGCUCCCUCUCCAGCAGACUCAGAUGUCUUUAACGGCAGGAGAGCUGCUCGGGAGACGGAUGUGGAGUUGAUGUUGCCCUAAGUUAGAGACCAGGGCCAAGUGACCACCAGCCCCUCUCCAGGCAUGGACUCAGUCUCAGUCCUGCAACACAAGGACUGAAACAUUGCAUGGCCUGUCUCUGGUUUGCUGGGACUUUUGGGAAACCCAAAUGCAAAGUAAUUAGAGUGAGGGGCUUUAAAUUUCUUCAAAUGAAAAUAUUUUCCCACUGUAUAAAUACCUUUGUGGGGUUACUUGCUAGCGUUGUAUCUCCGAACCUUGUUGACAAUUCAUUCAUCCAGUUUCAUGAACACACACAGAAGGACAAAGGGGACCACAACUCCAUGUACAUAACUCAAUCUCCAACAGGGAAGACUGAGGGGAGCAUGGUGGUGAGCUCUCUAGUGAGAGCCGGACCCUGGGGAGGAGAGAGGAGGCCAGGUCACAGCUGGGGACGGUGAGAUGAUCAGGGGAGAGAGGAGCAGACAGAGUCUAUGUCAGCUGCAUGGCUGGGCUCUGUCCUCCUGACCAGCUGUGUCAUCCUGGGCUGGAGUUUAGGGGGAGCCACAUAUUUCCUGCCUUUGGGAAAACCUAGCCUGAUGAGGAAGUCAAAGUCCUGGUCUGCAAGGAGCUGCCAGGUGAUCUCUGGACCUGGGAAGCUUCACACCCAUCGGCUCAGAUAGAAAGCAGAGACUAUUCCUAAUACUUAGCACAACUAAGAAUCUUUGGGCCUGCACCUGAGUACUCGUGUCAGGGCAAAGGGAAAAUAAAAAGGAAGUCUUUUCCCCAGGGAGCUGGGACAACAGGGACUUGAGUUCCUAGACCCUUAUCCCCAAGCCCUGGCCUCCUAGAAAUGGGUUACUAAUUUUUUUGAGCGGGGGAAGAUGUCCCACCCUCCACUGUCUAACACCACAAAAAAUCUGUCAAUUUUGCAGCCUUCUUUUGCUAGAAGGCAUAAGCACUUAGCCCCCUGAUGUCCUUGGCUUCCUCCUAAGACAUCCCUGGCUAUGAACUCCUUUAAGAUGAUGUCUUUGUUUGGGUUCCCUAGAAAAUAGAGCCUGAGGUAAGGCUUAAGUGCUACUGCUUUAUUUGGGAGGUGCAAAUCCAGAGCAGCAAGAGUGAAGCAGAGUGGAAGUGAAGCAGUAAAGGAUGGGGACCAAUGCAAGAUGAUAGUUAUUGCACUGGCCACUUGCUGCCUGAUGAGCUGCAAAGAGACACAGCCGAUCAAGAUGUAAGUGCAUCCCAUCAGCCAGGCAGGACAUUUCUGGACAGACUGUACAGAAAAAGUGUGCCUUAGAACAGUCCAUUAGAAAGGGAAAGGAGAGAGAAUUUUAUCUGAAGUCCUCUCCCAUCUUCCCUCUGCCAAAAUCCAUCUCAUAGGGAGCUAACUAACCUGAGUGUCCUGAGUGUAUCACUCAGCUCCUUCAGCAGUUGCUUAUGAAUUCAGAGCCCACACUCUGCAUAUUGAUGUCUCUUCUAAGACCGAAAGUGCAGUAGGAGCCUGAAACUCUGGCGGGGCAGCUCGUCAAACUCAGACAACAGAACUGUGUGAGCAUAUGUGGAGUCAGUUGACAGUGGUGGCAGCUGAGGCGGGGUAAGCAGCUGAGGGUCUGAGAGAAUCUGAGAAGUUUCAUAAGCCGUGUCCAGCAGAAAGGGAAAGAGUCUCUGGAAGAGGAGGAUGAAAAGGGGGUCCCUGCAGAGUCAUGGUCCUUAGAGACCAGGGAAAGCCAGAGAAGAAGGAAAUCUGAGAGACAAAGGAUGAAGGUGACAAGUUGAGGAGUUUGUAGAAGUUGAAUUAGCAAAAUGGAAGGACUCAGUGAUUCUGGGGAGGAAGUUACUCCAGUUCUGGAAACUACUCCAAGGGCACUCCUCUGAAUAAAAAGGUGCAUUAUAUUAGAGCCUUCUUAGCCAGUGUGUGCUCUUGGUUGUAUAGAAUAGAUCUUCUACUUUUUCUAAGCCCACUGUAUGGUAAAUUGUAAAAUGGCCAUAAAUUCUUCCCCUCCCCGAAUCCAUGCCCUUGCAAACUGACACUGUAGAUUCUCCCAUCAGGAGGUGGUCUGUUUUUCCAUCUCUUGCGUCUAUGCCAACCUUGUGACUUAUUUUAGACAAUGGGACAUUAGCAAACAUUAUGUAAGUAGAGGCUUGGAAAGCACCCUUGUGCAUUGGGGCUUGCCCUUUUGCUAAGCUUAGACCCCGGGGACCACUGUGUGAACGAGCCUGAGCUAGCCCGCUGGAGGAUGAGAGGCCACAUGAAGGAGAACUAAGGUGCCCAUCAGAUGUGAGCGAGACCACCCUUCAUCCGGGUGCUACCUGAACCAUCAGCUGACUACAGACGCGUAAGGAAGCCUAGCGGAGAUCAGCUGAGGCAGCCCAGACCAGAAGAACUGACCCAUGGAUCAUAUGCUAAAUAAUUAAAUAUUUGUUGU
This is a long non-coding RNA of Physeter macrocephalus (sperm whale), 3949 nucleotides long. RefSeq lists it as uncharacterized. The transcript is spliced from 9 exons. The record is from RefSeq and is a predicted model, not a curated record. NCBI's taxonomy places the organism in Eukaryota, Metazoa, Chordata, Mammalia, Artiodactyla, Physeteridae.